UGGGGAAUCUUGCGCAAUGGGCGAAAGCCUGACGCAGCGACGCCGCGUGAGUGAUGAAGGCCUUCGGGUUGUAAAGCUCUGUGGGGAGAGACGAAUAAGUGCCGCCUAAUACGUUGCAUGAUGACGGUAUCUCCUUAGCAAGCACCGGCUAACUCUGUGCCAGCAGCCGCGGUAAGACAGAGGGUGCAAACGUUGUUCGGAAUUACUGGGCGUAAAGCGAGUGUAGGCGGUCUCAUAAGUCGGGUGUGAAAGCCCUGGGCUCAACCCAGGAAGUGCACUCGAAACUGCGAGGCUAGAGUAUCGGAGAGGUUGGUGGAAUUCUCGGUGUAGAGGUGAAAUUCGUAGAUAUCGAGAGGAACACCGGUGGCGAAGGCGGCCAACUGGACGAAUACUGACGCUGAGACUCGAAAGCGUGGGGAGCAAACAG
This 427-nucleotide ribosomal RNA is filed under the name uncultured bacterium. Its description in RNAcentral is "bacterial SSU rRNA". It matches the Rfam family "Bacterial small subunit ribosomal RNA", at positions 355 to 775 of the family's 1533-position model. The record is from RNAcentral.